RNAcentral lists this ribosomal RNA (837 nucleotides) under Actinomadura sp. IM-6895. RNAcentral's name for it is "bacterial SSU rRNA". It matches the Rfam family "Bacterial small subunit ribosomal RNA", at positions 38 to 889 of the family's 1533-position model. Lineage: Bacteria; Bacillati; Actinomycetota; Actinomycetes; Streptosporangiales; Thermomonosporaceae. The record is from RNAcentral.
GGCGGCGUGCUUAACACAUGCAAGUCGAGCGGAAAGGCCCCUUCGGGGGUACUCGAGCGGCGAACGGGUGAGUAACACGUGAGCAACCUGCCCCUGACUCUGGGAUAAGCCCGGGAAACUGGGUCUAAUACCGGAUACGACCACUCCUUGCAUGGUUGGUUGGUGGAAAGUUUUUCGGUUGGGGAUGGGCUCGCGGCCUAUCAGCUUGUUGGUGGGGUGAUGGCCUACCAAGGCGACGACGGGUAACCGGCCUGAGAGGGCGACCGGUCACACUGGGACUGAGACACGGCCCAGACUCCUACGGGAGGCAGCAGUGGGGAAUAUUGCGCAAUGGGCGGAAGCCUGACGCAGCGACGCCGCGUGAGGGAUGACGGCCUUCGGGUUGUAAACCUCUUUCAGCAGGGACGAAGCUAACGUGACGGUACCUGCAGAAGAAGCGCCGGCUAACUACGUGCCAGCAGCCGCGGUAAUACGUAGGGCGCAAGCGUUGUCCGGAAUUAUUGGGCGUAAAGAGCUCGUAGGCGGUUUGUCGCGUCUGUCGUGAAAGCCCACGGCUUAACCGUGGGUCUGCGGUGGAUACGGGCAGACUAGAGGCAGGUAGGGGAGAAUGGAAUUCCCGGUGUAGCGGUGAAAUGCGCAGAUAUCGGGAGGAACACCGGUGGCGAAGGCGGUUCUCUGGGCCUGUACUGACGCUGAGGAGCGAAAGCGUGGGGAGCGAACAGGAUUAGAUACCCUGGUAGUCCACGCCGUAAACGUUGGGCGCUAGGUGUGGGGUUCUUCCACGGAUUCCGCGCCGUAGCUAACGCAUUAAGCGCCCCGCCUGGGGAGUACGGCCGC